RNAcentral lists this ribosomal RNA (468 nucleotides) under uncultured bacterium. RNAcentral's name for it is "partial 16S ribosomal RNA". It matches the Rfam family "Bacterial small subunit ribosomal RNA", at positions 28 to 507 of the family's 1533-position model. The record is from RNAcentral.
GACGAACGCUGGCGGCGUGCUUAACACAUGCAAGUCGAACGGAAAGGCCCUGCUUUUGUGGGGUGCUCGAGUGGCGAACGGGUGAGUAACACGUGAGUAACCUGCCCUUGACUUUGGGAUAACUUCAGGAAACUGGGGCUAAUACCGGAUAGGAGCUCCUGCUGCAUGGUGGGGGUUGGAAAGUUUGGGCGGUUGGGGAUGGACUCGCGGCUUAUCAGCUUGUUGGUGGGGUAGUGGCUUACGAAGGCUUUGACGGGUAGCCGGCCUGAGAGGGUGACCGGCCACAUUGGGACUGAGAUACGGCCCAGACUCCUACGGGAGGCAGCAGUGGGGAAUAUUGCACAAUGGGCGGAAGCCUGAUGCAGCAACGCCGCGUGCGGGAUGACGGCCUUCGGGUUGUAAACCGCUUUCGCCUGUGACGAAGCGUGAGUGACGGUAAUGGGUAAAGAAGCACCGGCUAACUACGUG